RNAcentral lists this non-coding RNA (112 nucleotides) under Arabidopsis thaliana x Arabidopsis arenosa. Lineage: Eukaryota; Viridiplantae; Streptophyta; Magnoliopsida; Brassicales; Brassicaceae. The record is from RNAcentral.
GUGUUGGUGGGAAGGAGAGAUGGUUGGCAUCUCCUCUGACAUAAACGGGACUGACCUAUAUGUUUUUGAAGUUUGAACACAUCUGGUUAAGGUUCUCCACCCUCAUAACUGU